RNAcentral lists this transfer RNA (76 nucleotides) under Candidatus Kentrum sp. LPFa. RNAcentral's name for it is "Candidatus Kentron sp. LPFa tRNA_Val_TAC". It matches the Rfam family "tRNA". Rfam says of the family: Transfer RNA (tRNA) molecules are approximately 80 nucleotides in length. Their secondary structure includes four short double-helical elements and three loops (D, anti-codon, and T loops). Further hydrogen bonds mediate the characteristic L-shaped molecular structure. tRNAs have two regions of fundamental functional importance: the anti-codon, which is responsible for specific mRNA codon recognition, and the 3' end, to which the tRNAs corresponding amino acid is attached (by aminoacyl-tRNA synthetases). tRNAs cope with the degeneracy of the genetic code in two manners: having more than one tRNA (with a specific anti-codon) for a particular amino acid; and 'wobble' base-pairing, i.e. permitting non-standard base-pairing at the 3rd anti-codon position. RNAcentral also lists the same sequence under 2 other names. The record is from RNAcentral. Lineage: Bacteria; Pseudomonadati; Pseudomonadota; Gammaproteobacteria.
GGGUGCUUAGCUCAGUUGGGAGAGCGCCGCCCUUACAAGGCGAAGGUCGUGGGUUCAAAUCCCUCAGCACCCACCA